UUGAAGAGUUUGAUCAUGGCUCAGAUUGAACGCUGGCGGCAGGCCUAACACAUGCAAGUCGAACGGUAACAGGAAGCAGCUUGCUGCUUUGCUGACGAGUGGCGGACGGGUGAGUAAUGUCUGGGAAACUGCCCGAUGGAGGGGGAUAACUACUGGAAACGGUAGCUAAUACCGCAUAACGUCGCAAGACCAAAGAGGGGGACCUUAGGGCCUCUUGCCAUCGGAUGUGCCCAGAUGGGAUUAGCUAGUAGGUGGGGUAAUGGCUCACCUAGGCGACGAUCCCUAGCUGGUCUGAGAGGAUGACCAGCCACACUGGAACUGAGACACGGUCCAGACUCCUACGGGAGGCAGCAGUGGGGAAUAUUGCACAAUGGGCGCAAGCCUGAUGCAGCCAUGCCGCGUGUAUGAAGAAGGCCUUCGGGUUGUAAAGUACUUUCAGCGGGGAGGAAGGGAGUAAAGUUAAUACCUUUGCUCAUUGACGUUACCCGCAGAAGAAGCACCGGCUAACUCCGUGCCAGCAGCCGCGGUAAUACGGAGGGUGCAAGCGUUAAUCGGAAUUACUGGGCGUAAAGCGCACGCAGGCGGUUUGUUAAGUCAGAUGUGAAAUCCCCGGGCUCAACCCGGGAACUGCAUCUGAUACUGGCAAGCUUGAGUCUCGUAGAGGGGGGGUAGAAUUCCAGGUGUAGCGGUGAAAUGCGUAGAGAUCUGGAGGAAUACCGGUGGCGAAGGCGGCCCCCUGGACGAAGACUGACGCUCAGGUGCGAAAGCGUGGGGAGCAAACAGGAUUAGAUACCCUGGUAGUCCACGCCGUAAACGAUGUCGACUUGGAGGUUGUGCCCUUGAGGCGUGGCUUCCGGAGCUAACGCGUUAAGUCGACCGCCUGGGGAGUACGGCCGCAAGGUUAAAACUCAAAUGAAUUGACGGGGGGCCCGCACAAGCGGUGGAGCAUGUGGUUUAAUUCGAUGCAACGCGAAGAACCUUACCUGGUCUUGACAUCCACGGAAGUUUUCAGAGAUGAGAAUGUGCCUUCGGGAACCGUGAGACAGGUGCUGCAUGGCUGUCGUCAGCUCGUGUUGUGAAAUGUUGGGUUAAGUCCCGCAACGAGCGCAACCCUUAUCCUUUGUUGCCAGCGGUCCGGCCGGGAACUCAAAGGAGACUGCCAGUGAUAAACUGGAGGAAGGUGGGGAUGACGUCAAGUCAUCAUGGCCCUUACGACCAGGGCUACACACGUGCUACAAUGGCGCAUACAAAGAGAAGCGACCUCGCGAGAGCAAGCGGACCUCAUAAAGUGCGUCGUAGUCCGGAUUGGAGUCUGCAACUCGACUCCAUGAAGUCGGAAUCGCUAGUAAUCGUGGAUCAGAAUGCCACGGUGAAUACGUUCCCGGGCCUUGUACACACCGCCCGUCACACCAUGGGAGUGGGUUGCAAAAAGAAGUAGGUAGCUUAACCUUCGGGAGGGCGCUUACCACUUUGUGAUUCAUGACUGGGGUGAAGUCGUAACAAGGUAACCGUAGGGGGAACCUGCGGUUGGAUCACCUCCUU
This 1542-nucleotide ribosomal RNA is filed under the name Escherichia coli. RNAcentral describes it as "bacterial SSU rRNA". It matches the Rfam family "Bacterial small subunit ribosomal RNA". The record is from RNAcentral. Lineage: Bacteria; Pseudomonadati; Pseudomonadota; Gammaproteobacteria; Enterobacterales; Enterobacteriaceae.